AAUAAGAUGGCUGAAGAUAUAAGCGGAAAAUUGUAGCUUUUCUAAUGGGGUGUCCUCUCUUAUUA
This 65-nucleotide transfer RNA is filed under the name Auchenoplax crinita. Its description in RNAcentral is "tRNA-Tyr". The record is from RNAcentral. Lineage: Eukaryota; Metazoa; Annelida; Polychaeta; Terebellida; Ampharetidae.